Cucurbita moschata (crookneck pumpkin) is the source of this 671-nucleotide long non-coding RNA. RefSeq lists it as uncharacterized. The record is from RefSeq and is a predicted model, not a curated record. The transcript is spliced from 2 exons. Lineage: Eukaryota; Viridiplantae; Streptophyta; Magnoliopsida; Cucurbitales; Cucurbitaceae.
ACCAUAACCUUCUUCCGACUGUACUCUCCCACUACGCCCCCUCCUCCAGUACUCCUCUCUUCCCACCGCCACCGCCACCGCCACUGCCACCACCGUCGCCCAUGCCUUGCUGCUUCCUCUCCUUCUCCUUCCCAGCGUUCUUGUCCUAAAAAAGGCAUUCCGACAUUAGAAGAAAGUGAACUACAGUCGCGUUUCUUAGAAGGUCUUGAAUUCUGCGUGCAAAUCAACUACUUAGCUUUUGGUAAGUUCUGUUUACUUCAUUUUGCGGGUUUUGCAUUUUUGGUUCUGUUUGAACAGCUGAAAAAGUAAUCUAGACUAUUCUGAAUAUCUCUUUGGACUCUUUAAUCAAGAAUCUUUGCAUCAUUAAACGAGGGUUGUUCUUUCUCGUAUAGGCUGGCAGUUGAUAAAAUUUCUCAAUUUUUCAUCUUAAUGCUACAAACAGAAGUUGAAAUGGUUCUUUUUUAGUCCUUUUUUAUAUGAUCUUUCUACUUUCCUCAUUAAUUCUAAGCAGAGGGCUUUCCUAUAAUCCCUAUCCCUUCUCUGGAAGCAGGGGUGGCAUCUUUCCACUGGACCCCAGCUUUUGGAACCCUUUUUCCUUGAACUUUAUGUACAUCCUCUUCUUCUUCUCCCGCAAAGAAAUAACAAAAAAAAAAAAAAAAAAAAAAAAAAAA